UGGGGAAUAUUGCACAAUGGGCGCAAGCCUGAUGCAGCCAUGCCGCGUGUAUGAAGAAGGCCUUCGGGUUGUAAAGUACUUUCAGCGGGGAGGAAGGGAGUAAAGUUAAUACCUUUGCUCAUUGACGUUACCCGCAGAAGAAGCACCGGCUAACUCCGUGCCAGCAGCCGCGGUAAUACGGAGGGGGCAAGCGUUAAUCGGAAUUACUGGGCGUAAAGCGCACGCAGGCGGUUGAUUGAGUCAGAUGUGAAAUCCCCGGGCUUAACCCGGGAAUUGCAUCUGAUACUGGUCAGCUAGAGUCUUGUAGAGGGGGGUAGAAUUCCAUGUGUAGCGGUGAAAUGCGUAGAGAUGUGGAGGAAUACCGGUGGCGAAGGCGGCCCCCUGGACAAAGACUGACGCUCAGGUGCGAAAGCGUGGGGAGCAAACAGG
Molecule: ribosomal RNA, 429 nt
Filed under: Chloroflexota bacterium
Lineage: Bacteria; Bacillati; Chloroflexota
Description: Chloroflexi bacterium partial 16S ribosomal RNA
Rfam family: Bacterial small subunit ribosomal RNA
Source: RNAcentral